Molecule: ribosomal RNA, 254 nt
Filed under: uncultured bacterium
Lineage: Bacteria
Description: partial 16S ribosomal RNA
Rfam family: Bacterial small subunit ribosomal RNA
Source: RNAcentral
UACGUAGGGUGCGAGCGUUUGUCCGGAAUUAUUGGGCGUAAAGGGCUCGUAGGCGGUUUGUCGCGUCGGGAGUGAAAACUCAGGGCUUAACCCUGAGCCUGCUUCCGAUACGGGCAGACUAGAGGUAUGCAGGGGAGAACGGAAUUCCUGGUGUAGCGGUGAAAUGCGCAGAUAUACGGAGGAACACCAGCGGCGAAGGCGGGUAGCUGGGCCAACACUGACGCUGAUGUGCGAAAGCUAGGGGAGCAAACGGG